Long non-coding RNA from Felis catus (domestic cat), 4283 nucleotides. RefSeq lists it as uncharacterized. The record is from RefSeq and is a predicted model, not a curated record. NCBI's taxonomy places the organism in Eukaryota, Metazoa, Chordata, Mammalia, Carnivora, Felidae. The transcript has 2 exons.
AGUCACGUGCUUUGGUUUCCAGCCCCAGGAGUAGACAUGUGACUGAGGCCUGUCCAAUCAGCGAGUCCCAUCCCCUGGCUGCAGUGAUUGGUUCAGGGAGAGCAUGUGACGCCAGUUGGUCCAAUCAGAGCACAUCCUAGGAGUCGAGCGUGGGGGGAGGCCCGGAGGAGAGCCCCUCCAUCUUCCAGAAGACGCUGGCGGGCAGUGGUCGGCGCCUGCUCGGGGAGACUCCGAACGCGGCUUGGGGAAUGGAAGGACACGGUGAGAAGAUGGCCAUCUGCAGACCAGGAAGAGCCAGCCCCUCACCAGACACCAGAUGUGCCGGCACCUUGACCUUGGACUUCAGCCUCCAGAACCGUGAGAAAUCAGUAUUUGUUGUUUCAGCCCCCAGUCUGCGGUGUUUUGUUACCACAGCCCAGGCUGACCAAGGCAGCAUCUCUCUUAUCCACAGCCCUCAGUAAAAUGCCUGGUGCGUAGUAGGUGCUCAAUAAGUGUGUGUUCAGUAAGUGGGGGUGAGGUCGGGGAGAGCAAAUACUGAACGUUGCUGUGGACUUGCCGCUGCGCUUUUUAUGCUGUCUCACUCACAGACCCAUUUUACAGAUUCGGAAAUAGAGAUGAGAACACGUUUUAUCUGUGUCUGCCCUUUGCCCUCGUCACUGACUAUGCCUGUCCCCACCUUGGUACCUGUCGCUCUCUGCAUGAGGGCUCUCUCUCAGCCCACGUGUAGGGCAGCCCGCAGCAUCAUGGAGUUGAAGCCCCAGGAGCAAUGAUUCUUGGGACACUGGAGGAUGAACACCCCUUCAGAUGGGGCAGUUCAGGGGCACCAUCUGUACCGUUUUGCAGAGCCACCUGCUGGCUACCAGAGAGGUGCCCACAGCGAUGGGCACCGUGGGCAUCCGUGGGCCCUGUCUUGGCUCCUUUCCUUCCCUGUCUUUCUUUCCCACAUCCUUCCUCGGGCUCCUGGGCUCACCUCCUGAGUGCACUAGUUGCUUUGAGUGUCUGGUCUUUCUUGCUCCUGGGGGUGCCAGCCUGAGAUUCUGGGGGUCCCGUGGGCCGGCUUGGGGCAGGGAACUGAGAGACCGGGAGGCCUGUCUCACUCCCCACCCUCUGUCCUUUCUCCCAUCCCUCCCCGUGGGGGAGCUGAGCAGCAGACGGAGUGCUGCUCACACACACAGACGGCCCUCAGGUGCCCCUUUCAACUCACCAGGGGCUGGCACGCUCAGCGGGGGACCAGUGCACUUGUCGGGGGGGGGGGUGGCACACUUACCAGGUUGUUGACACACUCGCCAGGGGCUGACACACUUGCUGGGAAGCUGACAUGCUCAGGAGGCUGACAGGCUCACUGAGGAGGAGAGCAGCGGAGCCAGAAGUGACGUUGAGUGUGAAUCGAGAGACGAGGGUCCAAGCCACGGUCUGCCUCCCAGAGCCGUGUGGGUCCCGCAAGCUCCCUGUGCUCCCCAGGCCUCCCUUAGAAGGAGGUGACGCAACACCGUCACUGGGUGACGCCCAGGUGUCCUCUGACGGACGACUGGAUAAACACAGUGUGGUGGAUCUGUACUUGGAAUACUCAGCCAUGAAGGAACCUGGUACUGACACGUGCCGUGAUGUGCGUGAACCCUGAGAACACGAUGCUGUGGGAGGACCCCAGACAUGAAAGGUCACAGAUUGUGUGAUGCCGAUUCAGUGAAAUUUCCGGAGCAGCUGAAUCCAUGCAGACAGAAAGUAGAUUAGUGAUUUCCAGGAACUUGGGCAAAAGGGAUUUGGGGGUGCCUGCCUAACGGGACUGGGCUUUCCUUCUGAGGUGCCAAAAGUCUUUUAGAAUCAGAUAGAGGUGUUGGCUGCACGAUUUUGUGGACUACUAAAUGCCACUGAAUCGCUCACGUUAAAAUGGUUCACGGUUAAUUUGACAUAGGUGGAUUCUCCCUUAAAAAGAAGGGUGUGACUGGGUAACCUAGUGGUGCUCGUUCCCUGGCUGCACAUCUGGGCCACCUGGGAGCUUUCAGAAUACUGAUGUCGAGCCCCAUGCCAGAGACUCUGAUUCCAUGGGUCAUUUUUAAAAGUUCUCCCCAAGAUCCUAACCUGCGGCAAGGUUCAGAAUCACUGAUCAGCGUCUGAGGUUCCUGCCACCUCUGUGUUUAGUGUGAAUUUGAGUCAGUAUACCCCCUCUCUCAUACUAUUUUAUUUUAUUUUAUUUUAUUUUAUUUUAUUUUAUUUUAUUUAUUUUUUCUCAUACUAUUUUAAGUCUUUGCAAAUUGUGGAGUAAAAGCCUUAGGAGUUGUUGUUGUAAAGGUGUUAGAGGCACGUGCUUGUAGGAGAGGCAACUUUUGGGGUGGGGGUUGUGGAGGAGGAGAGGAGUUGCUGGAGCCUGGAACCACCCCUCCCCCAGCCCCGUGCAUCCAGCCUCUUUCAGUCACAGGAAAGUGUCCCUCCCAGCAGCAACUCACCCUUGGCAGAGUUAACAUGUCAGAUCACACAUACAGUGUCAACCCUUUAAAGAUAUUCAGGCUGAAGUGGAUGCAGUUUCAUUCACACAUUUACACGGAGGACCUACUGUGUGCCAGGCAUUGUGCUUGGUGAUGGAGAGGAGGAGGGGAGAGCGAUUGAGAGGAAUCAGAGCUCCGUUCAGGAGCUCCCUGUUGAGUUGUGCAAGAUGGAAACGUCGUACAAUAAAACAGUAACGUUCCUGAUACGUGAUCCAUUGGUUAACCUGGACUGAUGAUCUACUGCAUGCCAGACCCUUUAGUCAGACCACCUCAUUACCCGAUGGCUAAGUCACUGGCUCCAAGCGGUGGUUGAUUUUGUGCAUCGACCUGACGAGCUAAGGGAUGCCUAAAUAGAUGGUAAAACGGGACUUCUGGGUGUGUCUGUGAGGGUAUUUCUGGAAGAGAUGAGCGUUGGAAUCAGUAGACUAAAGAAGAUGGCCUUCACCUUUGUGGGCAGGUGUCGCCCAAUCUGUUGAGGGCCCACGUAGAACAAAAAGGCUGAGGAAGGGUAGGCUUGCUGUCUCUGCUGGAGCUCAGAGGGCCAUCUUCUCCUGCCCUCACAUGUCAGCAAGCCUGGUUCUCAGGGCUUUGGACGUGGACUGGGGUUUGUACCAUCAGCUGCCCGGUUUCUCAGGCUUCAGGUUUGGGCUGGGCUGUGCUUGUCACUACCCUGGGCCUCCAGCUUGGAGAUUGCAGAUCGUGGGACUUCUUAGCCUCCUUAAUUGCAUGAGCCAAUUCCUUAUAAUAACUCCUCCCUGCCUCUAUCUGUCUUACUGGUUCUGUUUCUCCAGAGAAAUCUAACAAACCAGGUUCCAUGGCUGGGAAGUAGUAGAAUCUUAGCUCCUGACCACCAUGUUUUCCCGCUUGGGUUUCACGGCUGACUCGGACCUUGCUGCUUAGAGACAUAAGUGGCGCUAGGAGCACAGGAGUGUGGGCAGUUUGUUUCACAUGAGGGAGACCUUCCUCCGUGUCCUGCCCACUGUGUAAUCACUUGACACUUUGCUGCCUGACAUAGUGGCCUCGGGCAGGUGGGAGGCAAGGCUUUGUGAUUUUAAAAGCCUUGUAGGGUGGACAGAGGGAAGGCUUGCUGGGGUCACACUGCCUGAGUUUGAGUCUUGCAUUGUGACCUUGGACAAACACCUCUGAGCCUGCCAGUUUCUUCACCUGUAAAUGGAAAUAAGGAGAGGACCCCCUCUCACAUCACCACGGUGAAAAUUAGAAGAGAGAAUUCAUGUAGGAGCUUGGCAGAUUAUAAACCUUCAAAUGUCAGUUACCAUUUGGAAGCUAAAAAUGCCUUCACAUUACGGUCUGAAUGAGUUCUAGCUUUGAAAAUAGCUCCAAAUUCCAUUUAUGUUGAGAACCACAUUCUGUUCCCCAUGCCUGUGUGUGUGAUGGCCCCUGGGAGUUGGGUGGUCAUUAAGUGCUGUGUGGAACGAGGUCCUGUCCGUUCUGAAGGCCAUUGCAGGAGGCUGGGUGACCCAAAGAAACUCCCUUCUGCUCUAUGCCAGGAGAUUUGGGGACUUGGAGGUCAGAAGCAUGCAAUGCUUCUACAAAUCUAAUAGAAAUUCUUUCCGCCUCUUGAACGCAAUGAAAUUAGCCGGUGCUGAUGUAUUUCAGGAAAUUCCUAGAAUUCUCGGGUUAUAGGAGAAUAUAUUUGGACCGUUCUAACAAUGCUUGAGUAUUUUUUAUGAUAGUCCACUAAAAUAGUCAUCCCUGUUUAAAUGGCCCAGAGAUGGCAAUUGUACUAUGUUUUAAGUUAAAAAAAAAAAAAAAAAAAAAGAUUAGGUAAUAUGUGUGCGU